Molecule: ribosomal RNA, 497 nt
Filed under: uncultured bacterium
Lineage: Bacteria
Description: bacterial SSU rRNA
Rfam family: Bacterial small subunit ribosomal RNA
Source: RNAcentral
ACUCAAAUGAAUUGACGGGGGCCCGCACAAGCAGUGGAGUAUGUGGUUUAAUUCGAAGCAACGCGAAGAACCUUACCAGGGCUUGACAUAUACAGGAAUAGUAUGGAAACAUAUUAGCUCUUCGGAGUCUGUAUACAGGUGGUGCAUGGUUGUCGUCAGCUCGUGUCGUGAGAUGUUGGGUUAAGUCCCGCAACGAGCGCAACCCCUAUUGUUAGUUGCUAACGAGUAAAGUUGAGAACUUUAACAAGACUGCCGGUGAUAAAUCGGAGGAAGGUGGGGACGACGUCAAAUCAUCAUGCCCUUUAUGUCCUGGGCUACACACGUACUACAAUGGGUGUAACAGAGAGAAGCAAAGCAGUAAUGUGGAGCGAAACUCAAAAAGCAUCCUCAGUUCGGAUUGAAGGCUGAAAUUCGCCUUCAUGAAGUCGGAAUUGCUAGUAAUGGCAGGUCAGCAUACUGCCGUGAAUACGUUCCCGGGCCUUGCACACACCGCCCGU